RNAcentral lists this ribosomal RNA (253 nucleotides) under uncultured bacterium. Its description in RNAcentral is "partial 16S ribosomal RNA". It matches the Rfam family "Bacterial small subunit ribosomal RNA", at positions 524 to 776 of the family's 1533-position model. The record is from RNAcentral.
UACGGAGGGUGCAAGCGUUAAUCGGAAUUACUGGGCGUAAAGCGCAUGUAGGCUGUUAAUUAAGUCAGAUGUGAAAUCCCUGGGCUUAACCUGGGAAUGGCAUUCGAGACUGGUGAGCUAGAGUCUUGUAGAGGAAGGUGGAAUUCCAGGUGUAGCGGUGAAAUGCGUAGAGAUGGGGAGGAACACCGGUGGCGAAGGCGGCCCCCUGGACAAAGACUGACGCUCAGGCGCGAAAGCGUGGGGAGCAAACAGG